GACGAACGCUGGCGGCGUGCUUAACACAUGCAAGUCGAGCGAUGAAGCUUCUUCGGAAAUGGAUUAGCGGCGAACGGGUGAGGAACACGUGAAGAAUCUGCCCUCCACUUCGGGAUAACACCGGGAAACCGGUGCUAAUACUGAAUAUUGAAACAUAAGUGGCAUCACUGAGUUUUGAAAGAAUUUCGGUGGAGGAUGACUUCGCGGCCUAUCAGCUAGUUGGUGAGGUAAUGGCUCACCAAGGCAACGACGGGUAGCCGGCCUGAGAGGGCGACCGGCCACACCGGGACUGAGACACGGCCCAGACUCCUACGGGAGGCAGCAGUGGGGAAUAUUGGGCAAUGGAGGAAACUCUGACCCAGCGACGCCGCGUGCGGGAUGAAGGCCUUCGGGUUGUAAACCGCUUUCAGUAGGGAAGAAGCGAAAGUGACGGUACCUACAAAAGAAGCACCGGCUAACUAUGUGCCAGCCGCCGCCGUAA
Molecule: ribosomal RNA, 481 nt
Filed under: uncultured bacterium
Lineage: Bacteria
Description: partial 16S ribosomal RNA
Rfam family: Bacterial small subunit ribosomal RNA
Source: RNAcentral